GGGUCAAUGAUGAAAAUCUUUGUCUUGACUCAAGUGAGGUGUUGUCUUAAAAGUCUUGUGCAAUAGAGUUAUGGUGAGGACC
Molecule: small nucleolar RNA, 82 nt
Filed under: Carlito syrichta (Philippine tarsier)
Lineage: Eukaryota; Metazoa; Chordata; Mammalia; Primates; Tarsiidae
Description: Small nucleolar RNA SNORD115 (ENSTSYG00000024306.2)
Rfam family: Small nucleolar RNA SNORD115
About the family: HBII-52 is a member of the C/D class of snoRNAs, which contain the C (UGAUGA) and D (CUGA) box motifs. HBII-52 is encoded in a tandemly repeated array with another C/D snoRNA, HBII-85, in the Prader-Willi syndrome (PWS) region of chromosome 15.
Source: Rfam by way of RNAcentral